RNAcentral lists this long non-coding RNA (3771 nucleotides) under Anthonomus grandis grandis. RNAcentral describes it as "uncharacterized LOC126738947". The record is from RNAcentral. Lineage: Eukaryota; Metazoa; Arthropoda; Insecta; Coleoptera; Curculionidae.
UCUGAUAUGCCAAGCAAAGUCUAUAUUUUUUAAAUAUAUAAGACUAUACCUAAUAUAGCAUUGUCUUAAAAAAUUAAAAUCAAAUUAAAUCAUUAACGAAAAAUCACUCAUAAACAGCGUUAAAAUUUACAGUUGACAUGGCACAUUAAAACUUAAUUGGCUAUCGCAUUACAAUAACAAAAUACCUAUUACGAAAUAAAUGUAAUAAAAACGGAAGUAACAUCGGCAACGUCGAGCACACCGUAUAGAUACCCGAUUCCCCUCGCCGGCAACCCGUUUCGCUAGAUAAACCGUCGACGGUGGUGGGGAGGGAAAAGAUACGAUUUAGAAUACAAAAGUGGUGGGGAUGAAAACUAGGCCAAAAAUUGAAAAUCUUUCUGUUUACCAGUCCGUUUGCCACCAAAUCCAUUCCUAAUCCCAUUUAAAAUAACAACACAAUUAAUUAAUUAAGCGACAAAGAGUGAUUGACGAGAGGCGAUUUAGAAAAAAAAUCGAUAUAUAAGUAAGGUUACGAGGUGAAAGAGACGUAAAUGUGACGAAAUUCGGACACGACAGCCCGUCCGGCAAGCCGAAUUGAAAAAAAUCGGCAUUUUUAAGUGUUAUUUUCAGCAUAAAUAGUGUUGGGAAUCCGUGUACGGCAGUGUUCGUGGGUAAAACGAUAAAAUUCUACGUACCUUUUACAAUUUUCACUUGACGGGUUGCGUCGGGGCACACGAACUGGGCAAAAGCAGGGAACGGCGCGUUCUCAUUGGUCGCCGCGGAGCGUCAUAUGAUACACAAAAAAAUAACAUUUGCUUUGAGGUUAAACGGUGGCGGCCGGGCGAAUUUCGUCCUUAAGGUCGUCCUUUUUAAGGCGAAACGUAUUCUUUACGGGAAAUUAUGUUUGAAGAAUGACUUAAUUUCGAUUUCAAUGCUAUAUUUUUUUUCAAGCUAUAGGAAGAAGUUAUUAUUAUUAAUAGCGAGUCGAGUUACGGUAGAUACGAGGGGCAUUGCGGAAGUUUGUACCUACUAUCCCAGUUCGUCCCGUCUGACCGUUAAUUAGGUUUGUUUUACUAGAGGAGUUAAUUUUAAACUAAUAUUUACAUUAGCUACGUUUACAACGCGCGUACCAAAUAUUUAAUACUUAGAUCAAAUAUGACGUCGUGAGGACUAUUUUUUCGGUUACAGCCCUGUUUACAAGGAUUGAUUUUGAGGUUUAAAUUAGUCCAGGAUUAUCUCGGGAGGAGAUCUCUGUCGAGGAUCAAAAUGUCAGUUGAAGUGAGUUUAGACGACGAAUUAGGUAUAGGACAUAACCUCUAAAUCUUUAAAACUCUUAUUGUUUAAAGAUAAUAAAAAUAAACUAAUAAUUUAUUUUUCAAAGCCUAAGCUUUUCCUCUGUACUUUCUUCUCUAUUUUUGUGUACAAAAAUAAAUAAUAAAAUGUCAAACUGAUCAUUUUAGUACCGUAAACCGGGGUUACUAUGAGCCACUUUUCAACUUCAAAUGAGUGUAACUUUUGCCAGUGACGUCUAAUUACCACGGUAAAUAUUGGAAAACCUUGAAGGCUAUGUCUACUUUCAACUUCUAUUAGUCAAAUAUGAUAUAUAUAUUCGCAUCUAUGAAAAAAAAAAUAAAAACAUGGUGGCCAUAUUCACCCCGCAUUUUGGGGUGUCUAUGGCCUCACGCUUAAAAACACGGAUAGGCUUGUUUGAAGGCGUAAAAUGAGUGACUAUGGCCACAAAAAGUGUAAAAAAAAUGUUUUUAGUGUUUUUUAUUUUACUUUAAAUAAAAAUACUCGUAUUUUUAUAGCUUUUUAUUGAAAAAACAGAAACAAAACUAAUAAACCUUUUGAUUAUUCAUAAAAACAAGGUAAGAACCUACAAAUAACCACUGUAUGUACCUAUUUAAAGAAAUAACUAAAAAAUAACAUUCUAAAACUAAAUAUUUGGUAACAAAAAGGAACUUAAAAAUAUAAUACUCUAGGUAAUAAAUAGGUAGGUAGGUAAACAAAUAGGAACUAAAAAUUAUUUGAAGAAAACAAAAUUUUUGUACUUCAUCAUUUCGGGAACCACAAAAAUUGCCCUUGAAGUGGUAGAAACGGGUUCUUUAAUUUUCUCCAUUAUUUCUAUGUUGGGGUACCAUAGAACGUCUUCGUUUUCGGCCACUUCCAACCUUUUGGCCCGGACUCAAUCAUCGUGGAAAUUUGUGCUUCAUUUUUAUUGGUGGAAAUCAUUUUUUCCUGGAUAAUAUUUUUGAUCAUAUUUUACUAUGACAAAUUCCCCACAUUAUUACACAUACAUUUUAUUGGAUGAAUUUUCAACCGGUAGCUGUUCCACUUCAACUGCCUCAUCAUCACUACUUAGAUGUGCCCAAUUUUCCCCUUCUGCUUCAGAUAAAGAAGUGUAGCCUCCAGAAGAAACAUCACUUUCUUCAUUAAAAUUCGUAGACCUUUUUGUGGUUUUUUUUGCCUCUUCGCAGAUUUCACACCUUUCAACUUUUCUGCCCCUUCCCUACUGGUUCCUGGCAUUUCUUCUAGCUCGGCAAUAUUGUUAUUUUCGAAAACAUCACUUAUAUCAUCUUCCUCGUCAUCCUCCAAAAGUGUUGGAUCCUCAAAAGGUGUUGGAUCCUCAAAAGGUGUGGGAUCCUCCAAAGGUGUUGGGACGUUCAGAAGGCUUUUACCAGGAGUUAUAUUAAUCUUCGUUCUCUUUGAUUUGGGUUUAGCAGAUCCUUUGCCAAAUCUUUAUUUUUCCAAUAAAUCUAAAACAGAGUCGCUUAUCAAAGAUUGGUUCUUAAGUGCGUCCACAUCUUUUUUUGGGAGUCUAUCUAUAACUUGCUGUCUAUUACAUGGAUAAAUUCCGCAUUUUCGAAAGCCAGAGAUUAAAGACUCUUUGCCAGUUUCCUUUAGAUUGGCCAUUAACUGUUUUAGGAGGCUUGGAAAAUGGGAUUUGUUAGCAACGCAUCCAUAUUUAUAUUUAUAUUCCUCCAAAAUUUUUCACCACGCUAACUUCAUUGGUCGAAAAUAUGCCACGUCUAACGGCUGAGUUAAGUGAGUUGUAUUGGGAGGAAGGCAAACAAAUCUAACAUUAUUUUCUUCACAUAAUUCCAACACAUGGGAAUUUAUGUGGGAUGAUAAGUUGUCACCUAUAACAACUUUAGGGCCCUCUUCUUUUUUUAAAACUGGAAGUACGAGGGUUGUGUUUUAAGUUUUGCAUAUGCAGCUGGAAUAAAACAAAAAAUAACUUUUAACGACUUUAUUGUUUUUCAAAGUAUUCUCCACGAAAUUUAAUGCACUUUUGCAUGCGCUCAAACCAGUUGUCAAAGCUGUUAUUCCACUCGUUUGUGGGUACUGUCAAAAUUGCAUUUUUAAAGGCGUUAACUGCUUCCUCUGGCGUCUGAAACCUCUGACCACGCAGUUCAUUCUUGAUUUUUGGAAAAGUAUAGAAAUCGUUGGGACUUAGGUCGGGACUGUACGGAGGAUGAUCCAAUAAUUCGACGUUUUGAUAAGUUGAAAAUUCAAUAGUUUUCCGGGCUCUGUGCGAACUUGCAUUGUCUUGGUGGAGGAUGAUUCGUCGUUGUGGGUUCGCUUUUCGAAGCUCAGCGAUGACUUUCGGCAAACAAAUGGUAAUGUACCAAUCGGCAGUAACAGUUCGUUGAUUCUCCAGAGGAAUUGUUGCAACAUGACCUGCUUUUGAGACAAAUGUUGCAACCAUCUUUUUGGAUACACUUCGAGAACGAAUGACUUUUGUUGGCUUUUCUUUAUCUUGAAAUACCCAUACAGACGACUGACGUUUAU